AGUGAACGCUGGCGGUAGGCCUAACACAUGCAAGUCGAACGGCAGCACAGUAAGAGCUUGCUCUUACGGGUGGCGAGUGGCGGACGGGUGAGGAAUACAUCGGAAUCUACUUUUUCGUGGGGGAUAACGUAAGGAAACUUACGCUAAUACCGCAUACGACCUACGGGUGAAAGCAGGGGAUCUUCGGACCUUGCGCGAUUGAAUGAGCCGAUGUCGGAUUAGCUAGUUGGCGGAGUAAAGGCCCACCAAGGCGACGAUCCGUAGCUGGUCUGAGAGGAUGAUCAGCCACACUGGAACUGAGACACGGUCCAGACUCCUACGGGAGGCAGCAGUGGGGAAUAUUGGACAAUGGGCGCAAGCCUGAUCCAGCCAUACCGCGUGGGUGAAGAAGGCCUUCGGGUUGUAAAGCCCUUUUGUUGGGAAAGAAAAGCAGCAGGUUAAUACCCCGCUGUUCUGACGGUACCCAAAGAAUAAGCACCGGCUAACUUCGUG
Molecule: ribosomal RNA, 492 nt
Filed under: uncultured bacterium
Lineage: Bacteria
Description: partial 16S ribosomal RNA
Rfam family: Bacterial small subunit ribosomal RNA
Source: RNAcentral